This 234-nucleotide long non-coding RNA is filed under the name Ananas comosus (pineapple). RNAcentral describes it as "long non-coding RNA (ACOM_LNC006165)". The record is from RNAcentral. Lineage: Eukaryota; Viridiplantae; Streptophyta; Magnoliopsida; Poales; Bromeliaceae.
UCAUGUGUAAUUUUCUUUUUUAUUUUUAUUUUUAUUUUUAUUUUUAAGAGGUAGGUAGCACGCUACCUGCUUCGUUUAUUUCAUUUAGAAAUAAACUUAGCUGGAAAUGUGAAUCAACUAGGAUUUGAACUUGGGUCUCGGGUACCAACCACCAAGCCCUUUGCCAUUUGCUCUAGGGACGUGUAAUUUGCACUUUGUGCUCUGUUAUUAAAAUGUUUCACUUUGCCUUGUUAU